AGAGUUUGAUCAUGGCUGAGAACGAACGUUGGCGGCGUGGAUUAGGCAUGCAAGUCGCGCGAAUCCCAGCAAUGGGGGAAGCGGCGUAAGGGGCAGUAAGGCGUGGGCAACCCACCCCCCGGUCCGGGAUAGCCCGUCGAGAGACGGGGUAAUACCGGGCGACACCACCGGAAGGCAUCUUUUGGUGGUCAGAGGUCCGCCGCCGGGGGCGGGGCCCACGUGGUAUUAGCUAGUUGGUGGGGUGACGGCCCACCAAGGCGGAGAUGCCUAGCGGGUGUGAGAGCACGACCCGCGCCACUGGGACUGAGAAACUGGCCAGACACCUACGGGUGGCUGGGGUCGAGGAUCGUCCGCAAUGGACGAAAGUCUGACGGAGCGACGCCGCGUGGGCGAUGAAGGCCUUCGGGUUGUAAAGCACUGUCGAGGGGGAGGAAGCCGCAAGGUUGACCGAUCCCUGGAGGAAGCACGGGCUAAGUUCGUGCCAGCCGCCGCGGUAAUUC
Molecule: ribosomal RNA, 500 nt
Filed under: uncultured bacterium
Lineage: Bacteria
Description: bacterial SSU rRNA
Rfam family: Bacterial small subunit ribosomal RNA
Source: RNAcentral